RNAcentral lists this long non-coding RNA (4100 nucleotides) under Populus tremula. RNAcentral describes it as "long non-coding RNA (PTRE_LNC000396)". The record is from RNAcentral. Lineage: Eukaryota; Viridiplantae; Streptophyta; Magnoliopsida; Malpighiales; Salicaceae.
ACCAAGACAGAUGUACUGAUUCAGGGUUCAAAACCUUGACGAACAAGAAGAAGCCCAUCUUUCUAAAGCAAUUUAAGCAGCUCUCUGCUCUUUCAUGGUGCAAGGGGCAAGAUACUUCUUUGAACACUUUGCUGAUUGAUAAUGACCCCUACAAGUCUCUUCUAAAUCCUGUAAUAAAACUAACCAUCACCUUUUACUUAAAUUAAAACAGUUUGUUAAUUUGUUGACUUAGAUGAUUCUGUCCUGCUUGUCCAUUUUUGUAGUCCCACACCGCGAUUUUUCCUGACGAAUACACGGUGGACUGUGCUACUGAUUCUGCUUUAGGUAAUUAAGUCCUGCUGCGUACCAUCUGUUCUUAUAGGAUUGAUUAAUAUAUAUUAUUAACCAUGCUAAUUAUAUAGUUACUGAUUUAAUUUGGAUUAGGUCCUGAGGGUGAUCUUCGGGUCUACCUGGAAGGCCUGGCUGAUGCUAAAGAUGUUCCAUCCUAUGUGAAGGACCAUCCUUUUGGGAAGCCUGCAAUCACUCCCUUGCACCCUGACUGGGAUUUUUACUCCAAGAUUGUUCGACUUCAUAGCAAGGAACCGAUCGUGAAGUAGCAAGGAUAAUUUUCAAAAAAUAACAAUGGAGAUGUUUUUAUAUUGUACAUAUGCUGUUUGCUUAUUUUUAUGUUGUUUGGUGUGUUGAACAAACCUACAGUAAUUCUGUUGCCUUAAUCCAUAUGUUUCAUAUUUUGUUAAAGAUCAUGUUUAAUUAAUUAUAGAAUUUGGCAGAUCUCCUGUUCGAUGUUUAAAUUUUCUUGAUCCACUUGUAAAUCCUAGCAGUAGCAGUUUUUUUCUUAAAAACUUAUGCUAAACAACAUGCAUUAAGGACUUUGUUCAGAGAUAUCCGACAACGUUUUGGGUUUUUUCCGGUAAUUUGAAGGAAAUACUACUAAACAAAAAAGGGUAAAAACGAAGAUGAAUUUAGUUUUAAUUAUUUUUCCUUUAAAAGCAUUAAAAUAUAUGACAAGAAUUCUUUCAUUAAGUUUUAGUUCCCGUAUGUUUGCUUUUCUGGAAAAUAAUUUUAUUUUGAAAAGUAAUUUUCUUGAAAAAUAAAUGUAUAAAAAGUGAAUUAUUUUCUGAUAUUUGGUGGAGUCAUGGAAAAUAAAUUAAAAAACAUUUUUCAGUAUUUGGCUAUCUCAUAAAAAAUAAGUUGGAAAAUAAAUUAAUAAUUUUUUUUUCAAGUUUAUUAAAAUAAUGAGAAACAAAUCUUGCAAAUUAAAAGGUUGAAUUAGAAUGAAACUGAAAAAAAAUAAUCUAAUUUCAUAAAUUAUUUUAAAUAAAAUAAAUAACAAUCAAAAUAAUAAAGAUCAAAUCUAAUAAAAAAAAAUGAAAGAUGAUGAAAUUAAAAUAAUAAUAAUUAUAAUUUUAUAAAUUGUUUCAAAUAAAAUAAGUAACAAUAAAAAGAAUAAGAAUCAAAUUUAAUAGAUAAAAAUUUCAAUUAAAAAAUAAUAAGAGAGAAGCAAAUAACAAUCAUAAAAAUGAGGACCAUAAUUAAUAUGAAAAUCAAAAUUUAAGGGGUAAAUUAAAAAAAAAAGAUUCAAAAUAAAAUAUAUUUCAAUCAAAAGUUUGAUGAUCAAAUUUGUUAUAAUUAGUAAAUAAUAUGAUAUUUCUAAAUUUUUCAUAACUUUUAAAAAGUGUUUUCCGUCUAAAAUAAAAAAAAAUACUUUCCUAAAAAACUAAAUUAAAAUUUUUUUAACUAGAAAGUAUUUUUUGUUGAUUAAUUUUUUUAAUAAUAAAUAAAUAUAUAAAAAAUUAAUUUUCAUCAAACAAAAACAAACAAGACGGGGUGAGCUUGAUGGUGUCCAAUUGAAAACUUAUUCUGUCAGAGAACCUUGAGGAGAAUCUAUGUCCUUUGCCCUUGUCUACAUAAGUGAGACACCAAAUGAUUAAAUUCGAUAACAAUAAGAAAAGCCUAAUAAUUAUUAAAUUAUCACACUGUUUCUUUAAAAAGAAAAACUAAAUAACCAAUCAGAUAAAAUUUCCAAUGGAUUGCUUUGAUCAAACCCCUUCUGCUUUUACAAGUAAAGGAAAUAAAUCUCUGCUUCUUAAUUAAGUUUUGAGAACCUUCACACUUGCUUUUCCAAGAGAGAGAUAGAAAGGAAAGAGAUAUAAAAGAAACAUAUUUUUAUUAUAGAUAUAAAUAUUCUUUUUAUUUUUUAAGGGUCAUCAAAUUAUUUUUUUCUUUCAUUACCCAUCUUUAUAUAUAUAUAUAUAUAUAUAUAUAUAUAUAUAUAUAUAUAUAUAUAUUAAGAAAGUAACCACUCACUCGUAUUUAAUUACUUUCUGCCAACUAUAAUUUUUAUUUUUUGUUAAUUUAUCAAGACAACUAUAAUAAAAAAGCAUGCAUGCAAUUAGGUAACAUAUAAAAAAUGUAUUUCAUUAUUCCAGAUAUAUUUUGAAUCCGCUUGGGGACACGAACUUUCAUGGCUUAAGCAAUUGAGUGUUCUCUAGCCUCGUGUGGUUUGACACUCUGUGAACAGGAAGUAGUAGCACUUCAAAGACAGACAGACAGACAGAUAUGUAUUGGAAACUAGCACGAUUAAUUUUGAGGUUAAAAUUAAACUUGUUAAGAAUCAUUAAUCAUGGAUUCAUCGAAAUAUAUAUUGGAAACAUCGAAAUUAAUAUUCUCUCCCAAAAAUAAUAAUACAAAAAAUCAACAUUCCCAUGCUUUGAAUUUAGACUUGGGAAUCAAGUAAUCUUUAUUAAAAAUGAAAAUCCCAACAGUGUAAUAAAAGCCCGUUACUAUUUAUUAAAAGUGUUUUUGUUAUUGUGGUAGCGGUUGCUUUUUAAAUAGUUUUUCGUACUGAAAUACAUGUCAAUGAUAUUUUUUUUAUUUUUUAAAAAUUAUUUUUAACAUCAGCACAUCAAAACAAUUCAAAAAUUACAAACCAAACUCAAUUUUAACAAAAAAAAAUAAUUCAAAAUUUCAUCAAACACAUGUUCAAUCUCACUGCCAACUAUUUAUUAAAUGUUAGCCAGGGAGUGUUUUCAAAAGUUGCAACCAAAUUCAACACUAUAUAUAUAUAUAGAUACCCAACCACGAGUAUCCCACCACUACAACAUAUCUUAAUCCUAAUCUCAAUCUUGUACAUCAUCAAAACUCACCACAUUAAGGUUAAGAUGGCUGAAGGAAAGAGCACAGACAGUAGCCUGAAGCUCAAGUCAGUAAUCCACGAUGAUGACAGUAAGGACAACGAAGAAGACAAGGGAGAUUUGCCUGAUGAUAUUCUUUCACUGGAAAAACUAAGCCUUAAAGUUCCGGAAAAGAAACUCCUCAUCCUUUGCCUUGGCGGGCUGCUAUGUCACAGGGUCUGCGUUAAACGCGGUCGCAACGUGAAGACAAACCGCCGUCCUGAUGCUGCGUAUGGAAACUUUGAAGGUAAAGUUGUGAUCAAUCUGCAGUGUUUUUUCUUUUUUGUUCUUACGAGGUAUAUUCUCUUCUGAUCAGUUUACAAGAGGCCAUUCUGCGAUGAUUUUGUGAAAUUCUGCUUCGAAAGAUUCGAGGUUGGAAUCUGGUCUUCUGCUAGAGAGUGAGUAAAAACCUAUCUAUUUUUCAGUAACCAUUUAUGUUAAAUGAUGUCCUGUCCUAACCAUGUUUUUUCCUGCUGUCUGAAACAGACGGUACAUGAAUGAUGCUCUUGAUGGUGUUAUGAAAGGUUUCAGGUUCAAGCUGUUAUUUUCUUGGGUAAGUAUAUGGGUUACCUGUCUUGCUUUAUCUUACAAUCUCUUUUCAGGGAUCGUUCCUGUCUUAUUAAUGAUAUCCUUUUCCAGGACCAAGACAGAUGUACUGAUUCAGGGUUCAAAACCUUGAAGGACAAGAAGAAGCCCAUCUUUCUCAAGCAAUUUACGCAGCUCUCUGCUCUUUCAUGGUGCAAGGGGCAAGAUACUUCUUUGAACACUUUGCUGAUUGAUAAUGACCCCUACAAGUCUCUUCUAAAUCCUGUAAUAAAACUAACCAUCACCUUUUACUUAAAUUAAAACAGUUUGUUAAUUUGUUGACUUCGAUGAUUCUGUCCUGCUUGUCCAUUUUUGUACGUAGUCCCACACCGCGAUUUUUCC